CUGUGCAAGUGCUCAACCUCUAUGGGUAUUCACUCAAGAUCAGUCUAGAAUAAUUCUCUUUGGUGUUGAUAUUUCUUCUCUGAGAAUGAUCAUCCUACGAAUCUGAAUAAAGCCUGGAUCGCAAUCAACUCUUUGAUCCAUUCCUUAAUUUUUUUCUUCUUUUCUUCUCUUACUCUUCUUCCCUUAAUUAUGAAGAAAUCAAAGUCUGAAAAUCAGCAAGCAAAGAAAAUGCCUAAACUCCUUUUGGGCAUGGA
Molecule: long non-coding RNA, 254 nt
Filed under: Elaeis guineensis (African oil palm)
Lineage: Eukaryota; Viridiplantae; Streptophyta; Magnoliopsida; Arecales; Arecaceae
Description: long non-coding RNA (EGUI_LNC002131)
Source: RNAcentral